GACCUCUGUGGCCCUGGGAGGACCUGGGGACACCGGAGACUUGUGUUACUCAGAUCCUAGUCAAGACCUCUGUUGGCUGCCAGAGUUGGACAGAAAAGAACCGUUGAGGUCUGCAAAGAAGCAGGCAGAGCCCCAGGGAUCCAGGAGGGAGCCCCCUACCACACACACCCAAAGAGUUCUAGGAAAAGAUGAGGCAAGGAAUGGAGAUAGUGAGCAGAACAAAAGACGAAAUGCUUCAAGUCACAGCCCAAGUAUGUGAAGAAAUCUGCAGUCAUCGGCAUGAAUUACUUAGGCUUCUUCUCCUCUCUCCCGAAAGCUCAAGUCAUGGCUGCAGCCAGCCAGGAAUGGAACAAGAAUCCAUGAAGUGGGUUGCAGGCAUCAGGUUCCUUGUUUGGUCUAUGCUCACCUGGGUCCAGCCUGUUGGUGAGUGUGCACUUUCCCCAUCAGAUGCUGCUUCUCUUUGCUACAUCUUCACUGUUGGCAAGUCAGGGUCUGGACCAUGGUGGCACAAAGUCCAAGGCCAACUGAACGAAGAGACUUUUAUUAACUGUGACAGUAACAACAACUGCCAUGCCACUGGCCUUCUGGGGAAUAGACUGAUGGUCACAAAACUCUGGAAAACACAAGCUGAACCUCUGAAAGAUGGAAUUCACCUGUUGAAAGCAGAACUGAUUGACAUGACUAAUAAAACCAGAGGCACAGAGCCCCUCACUCUGCAGGCCAGGAUGUGUUGUUGUUAUGAAGAUGGACAUUUCGAUGGAUUCUGGAACAUUGGCCUCAAUGGACACAAAAUAUUGCACUUUGACUUAAGCACUGGAAAAUUGACUAAAGCUGAAGGCAGCAAGAAAAGAUUGACCAGCAGCGAUGUAACAGACUUCUUUUACAUGACUUCACAUGGGGACUGCAGGUCCUGGCUUAAGGAGUUCAAGUCACACUGGGAAGAAAAGCUGGAGCCUAUAGAAUCACUGUUGCUUUUCAUCUCGCUUGAUCUUCCUUGUUCCGUGCCACCAUUCUCACGGAUCAUCCAUCCUCAUGCCUCCUCUCCUGCCAGAGGGAAGACGAUGGCCUACCAGGACCCUGCUUCAACUACCAUAGCUGUAUGGUUCUUUUGA
RNAcentral lists this long non-coding RNA (1112 nucleotides) under Cricetulus griseus (Chinese hamster). RNAcentral's name for it is "lncRNA (ENSCGRG00000024515.1)". Lineage: Eukaryota; Metazoa; Chordata; Mammalia; Rodentia; Cricetidae. The record is from RNAcentral.